CUUCCCUUCUCCCUUGGGAAAAGACUUGGCUUUUAAGUGAUCACUAGCUAUUCUCAUGAUUAACCCAAUCAUUUGCUGUUAACCUGCACUUGGGGUUACCGACAGCACAUGGUGCAAAGAUAUUUCAUUAGCUGCCAGAACAAAUGACCAAUGUGCCAAAUCUCCAACAGCUUGUGUCCUGGAUAAGGGUCACUGUGGGCCCACUGGUGCUGCCUGCCUCAGAAAUUCCACAAAUAUUUACUGAGCAUCUACUCUACACAAGGGGUAGCCAUUACAGCUUCGGGGCUCCACUGUGCGCUCCAGGACACAAAAACUACCCCCUCCUCCACCUCCCCGCCGUUUCUGUGGAAACCCAGGGCUGCAGACCCAGCACCAGCUUUCUCGGAGGGUGCCUUGCAGAGAAGAAAAGCUAAGGGCCAUCGCGAUCUUGCCUACAACUACUAUCAGCCUGGAUCUGUUUCAGAUGAUGUGGCUACCAAAUUCAGGCUGCCUGGAUCCCUAAGUCACAGCUUGGAAGUAGGCUACCUUGAAGAGCUGUUGUCUUGAAAUGCAUUUCAUGAAGAGAAAGAAAAGUUAGUGACAAAACUGCAAGAGGACAAUAUCUUGAGGGGGAGGAGCUGUAUUAGUGCCUAGAAGCACCUUCUAAGGGAAAGGAACAAAAUGCUCCUGUUACUAAUUCUAGUUGUAUGGCCUUUCUUGAGGUAUAAGCAAAAUCCUGAACUUUGGAAGGGAAUACAGAGCCAGGGUCUCUGUGUCCCAUUUGCUAAGGUACUUAACGCAGAAUCUGAAUACCCUUUACUUAACACUCCAGCACUGUGAUGUGGCACAUACCUGGGCACUGAUGUCACUCAGAUCUGGCGUUCAGUCCCAGCUUGGCCAUUUACUAUGUGACUUGGACAAGUUAAUUUCUUGCCUCCAUUUCCUGAUAUGUAAAAUGGGUAUAAAAAUUUCUACCAAGCAGGGUUAUUGGGAGCACUAAAUAAAAUAAAACAAGGUGGAGUACACGACACGCUUGGUUCAACGGCUGGCAUACAGCAGCUGGUUUAGAUCUGUUUGUUUCCUUCCUUCCUAGGCCUUCAGAGUUUGGUGUCGAGCUCAGGCUCAGUCAAAAGAAAGUUUAAUAUUGGAAGUAGUAGUAAGAUCUCGCAAAAACACCUGUGAUACUGCUUUAGCUGCCACAACGUAAGGUGAAGGCAGCAUUCCUAGGAGAAAAGAAAAGCCAAGUCAGAGAGAGGAAGUGGAUCCAGAUCACACACAGAGGCCAGAUGUCCAGACGAGGUGUUGGGGCUGGGUGGGUGAGGCAGGCAGACUGGCAGAGUUUGGCUAAGACACCCUGAACCUGGGACAAAGCCAGCCUGGGACCAGAAGUUUCCUUGACUGCUUCCUGUUAGGCAAAGGUCCAAGGCAAUGCUCUUCUGGGUGGUGGCAAGUACUAGCCACCAGGGGCAGGAGUGAGCAGCAACUCUUACUUCCCUAACUUGUUCUGAUCCCGCCCCCUCCCCCAGCACAGGCUUCCAAACAGGCUCUGGUGAACUUACUCAGUCACAUAACCAUCCAAUCAUGUGAGACAUUCACUUUGAACCGGCUUAGUGGGCCAGCCCUGUGCUGGCGCUGGUAACACAGAGACAAAGAGGAAACGCUCCCUUACUGUGGAGGGGUGGUGCAUCGCUUUUCAGGGAGACAGAUGUGCAAACAGAUCAAAAUCCACAUGCUCAGAUUUCUAAGGGGUUAACUCCAGGGAACCCUGGCUUCUCAGAGGAGAGAACAAGUAUCUGUAGUUUUGCUAAGUUUGGGGAAGGAGUCUUCCCUGAGAGCAGGACCUAUGUGUGGAGAGGAAUAAAAAGGAAGAGAGGAGGCACAUUUGGGGUUCGGGGGUCGGUCUUGUGUGGCCAAAGUGUGAGGCACAUGACAGAGGGGGAAGUGGUUACAGUAAAACAUACACAGUAGGUAGAGGUCAGCUCACGGUGAGUCACCAUGCCAGGGUCAGGCUCUUGAAUCUGACGCUCUGGGUUGGAAGUGGCUAAGUGGCAGUCAUCAGAAUGGAUAGGAAAGCCAAUUAAAAAAUUGAUUUUGAAUGCUUUCAGACUAGGCAUAUGCUUUCGACUCUGACACAUUCCCCACCACUUCCUACCAUCCUACACUUGACCCCCUCACUCUUUUACACCACCCACACAGCCCCUGCAAGCAUUUGGGUUUGGGACUCCUGGGCAACCUGUGACCAGGGGAGGUUUUUAGGAAGAUAAUGAAACAUGGUCAGAUUUGGUGUUCUGGGGCCACGCAUCAGCGGAGUUGAGGCAGGAAGAGGAUGGUGACAAAUGCCACAAUAUGUUUUCUUUCCAACAGGACUUUUUCCU
Molecule: long non-coding RNA, 2354 nt
Organism: Pteropus alecto (black flying fox)
Lineage: Eukaryota; Metazoa; Chordata; Mammalia; Chiroptera; Pteropodidae
Exons: 3
Source: RefSeq, a predicted model, not a curated record